GAUGAAGAACAUAGCGAAAUGCGAUAAGUAAUGUGAAUUGCAGAAUUCAGUGAAUCAUCGAAUCUUUGAACGCACAUUGCGCCCGCCAGCAUUCUGGCGGGCAUGCCUGUUCGAGCGUCAUUUCAACCCUCGAGCCCCCCCGGGGGCCUCGGUGUUGGGGGACGGCACACCAGCCGCCCCCGAAAUGCAGUGGCGACCCCGCCGCAGCCUCCCCUGCGUAGUAGCACACACCUCGCACCGGAGCGCGGAGGCGGUCACGCCGUAAAACGCCCAACUUUCUUAGAGUUGACCUCGGAUCAGGUAGGAAUACCCGCUGAACUUAAGCAUAUCAAUAAGCGGAGGA
RNAcentral lists this unclassified non-coding RNA (343 nucleotides) under soil metagenome. RNAcentral's name for it is "partial contains 5.8S ribosomal RNA, internal transcribed spacer 2, and large subunit ribosomal RNA". The stretch from base 1 to 120 matches the Rfam family "5.8S ribosomal RNA", at positions 35 to 154 of the family's 154-position model. The record is from RNAcentral.